RNAcentral lists this small nuclear RNA (313 nucleotides) under Erinaceus europaeus (western European hedgehog). RNAcentral describes it as "7SK RNA". It matches the Rfam family "7SK RNA". Rfam says of the family: 7SK was discovered as an abundant small nuclear RNA in the mid-70s but a possible function has only recently been suggested. Two independent studies have found that 7SK RNA binds the CDK9/cyclin T complex (known as elongation factor P-TEFb). P-TEFb activates transcription by phosphorylating the C-terminal domain of RNA polymerase II. Lineage: Eukaryota; Metazoa; Chordata; Mammalia; Eulipotyphla; Erinaceidae. The record is from Rfam by way of RNAcentral.
GGAUGUGAGGGCGAUCUGGCUGUGACAUCUGUCACCUCAUUGAUCACCAGGGUUGAUUUGGCUGAUCUGGCUGGCUAGGUAGGUGUCCCCUUUCUCCCUUUCUCCCUCCCUGCUCCAUGUGCUUAGCUCCUGAAGCUGUGUGCUAGGUGGAAGAGGAUGGACUUCCCGGAGUACAGACAGACCAGUCUUCAGUCUAGGGUAUAGGAAUAGUUGCGCUCCCCUGCUAGAACCUCCAAACAAGCUCUCAAGAAUGAGGAUGGCAAGCAAAUACUUUUCUUCUGUUGAGAAACCAGCCCAAGAAACACUUGGAGCU